Molecule: ribosomal RNA, 286 nt
Filed under: unidentified marine bacterioplankton
Lineage: Bacteria
Also listed under: 1 other name
Description: partial 16S ribosomal RNA
Rfam family: Bacterial small subunit ribosomal RNA
Source: RNAcentral
AAGUCGAACGAGAAAGCACUUCGGUGCGAGUACAGUGGCGAACGGGUGAGUAACACGUGGGCAACCUGCCCCGGAGAGAGGGACAACCCGAGGAAACUCGGGCUAAUACCUCAUGAUCCGUCCCGACUUAAGUCGGGCCGGCAAAUGGUAGCUUCGGCCUCCGCUCUGGGAUGGGCCCGCGCCGGAUUAGCUAGUUGGUUGGGGUAAUGGCCCACCAAGGCGACGAUCCGUAGCUGGUCUGAGAGGACGAUCAGCCACACUGGGACUGAGACACGGCCCAGACUCC